Molecule: ribosomal RNA, 407 nt
Filed under: Migonemyia migonei
Lineage: Eukaryota; Metazoa; Arthropoda; Insecta; Diptera; Psychodidae
Description: eukaryotic LSU rRNA
Rfam family: Eukaryotic large subunit ribosomal RNA
Source: RNAcentral
GAAAAGAACUUUGGAGAGAGAGUUAAAAAGUACGUGAAACCGUAUAGGGGUUAAGCCCGUUGAAUCUAAAUAUCCGAUGGAUGAAAUUCAAUACUAUUUUGCAUGCAAUACUGCUCAAUAGUGUGCACUUUUCAUCUAGUAGGACACUGCAAUCCGUUAGGUUGAAUAUAGUUGCUUGCAUACUAUAUUUGAACUUAUCAAUGGAAUUCUCUUAGAUUGUUUAUCUGCUAAUAGUACUAAUAAUACUAUUCGAUAAGUCUAUUUAGGAAUUUCGAUAAUGUUUGACUGACGGAUUUACAAAAAAUCAUACAACAUGCAUAUGUAAUUCCUCACGGGGGAUUUGUAUGUAUUUGAUUUGCAGUGCACUAUAGAUUUAGAUACCUUCGGGGCCCGUCUUGAAACACGGA